ACAACUUUUAAUAAUAGAUCUCUUAGUUCUAGUAUUAAUAAAGAACGCAGCGAAAUGCAAUAAGUAGUGUAAAUUAUAGAAUUUAGUAAAUUAUUAAAUCUUUAAACGUAUAUUGCGCCCCUUAGUAUUCUAUAGGGCAUGCCUAUUUAAGCGUUAUUUGUACCCUUAAGCUCUACUUAGUGUUAGGUGUUUGUUCUACUUAGGACUCGCCUUAAAACAAUUAGUAGCUAGCAUAUUAGCCUAGAGCGCAGCAUAUUUUACGCCUCUUAUUAUAGUUAUUAGUAUCUAUUAAGACACUUUUUAAGCUCUUAACCUUAGAUUAGGUAGGGAUACCCGCUAAACUUAAGUAUAUUAAUAAGCGGAGGAAAAGAAACUAAUAGGGAUUGCCCUAGUAACAGCGAGUGAAGUAGUAAUAGCUUAAAUUUAAAAUCUAGCUCUUUUAGGGUCUAAGUUGUAAUUUGCAGAGGGCGCUUUAGUAUUAGUAGCAGUCUAAGUUCCUUAGAAUAGGAUGUUAUAGAGGGUAAGAAUCCUAUACGUAGUUACUAGCCUUCGCCGUGUAAAGCCCCUUUAACAAGUUAAGUUAUUUAGGAAUAUAGCUCUAAAUAGGAGGUAAAUUUCUUCUAAAGCUAAAUACUAGCUAGAGACUAAUAGCGUACAAGUAGAGUAAUUAAAAGAUAAAAAGCACUUUAGAAAGAGAGUUAAAUAGCACGUGAAAUUAUUAAAAGGGAAGCGCUUGCAGCUAGACUUGCCUAUAGUUGCUUAUCUAGGCUUUUGUCUAGUGCACUCUUCUACAGGCAGGCUAGUAUUAGUUUAGGCAGUUAGAUAAAGGUCUCUGUUACGUACCUCCCUUUAGGGAGGCCUUAUAGGGGAGAUAAUAUGCAACUAGCCUAGACUAAGGUCCGCGUAUCUACUAGGAUGCUAGCGUAAUAGCUGUAAGCGGCCUGUCUUAAAAUAUAGACUAAGGAGUCUAACAUCUAUGCAAGUGUUUAGGUGUUAAGCCUAGACGCGUAAUAAAAGUAAACAGAGGUAGGACCCCUUUUAGGGUGCACUAUUAACUAAUCCUAAUAUCUUUAGAAGGAUUUAAGUAAGAGUAUAGCUAUUAGGACCUAAAAGAUAGUAAACUAUGCUUAAAUAGGGUAAAGCUAGAGGAAACUCUAGUAGAGGCUCGCAGCGGUUCUAACGUGCAAAUUAAUUGUUAAAUUUAGGUAUAGGGGCGAAAGACUAAUUAAACUAUCUAGUAGCUAGUUCCUACUAAAGUUUCCCUUAGGAUAGCAGUAACGUAUUUAGUUUUAUAAGGUAAAGCAAAUAAUUAGAGGCCUAGGGGUUAAAACAACCUUUACCUAUUCUUAAACUUUAAAUAUAUAAGAAGUUCUUAUUACUUAAUUAAACGUAGAUACUUAAAUAUACUGUUACUAGUAGGCUAUUUUUAGUAAGUAGAACUAGCAAUAUAGGAUAAACUAAACGCAGGGUUAAGGUGCUAGAAUACACGCUUAUUAGACACUACAAAAGGUGUUAGUUUAUCUAGACAGUAGGAUAGUAGCUAUAGAAGUUAGAAUCUACUAAGGAGUGUAUAACAACUUACCUACUAAAUAAACUAGCCCUAAAAAUAGAUAGCGCUUAAGCGUGUUACCUAUACCCUGCUGCUAGGGCAAGAUUUAAGCCCUAGUAAGUAGGCAGGCAUAGAGGCUUAUAACAAAGCCUUAGGGGUAACCCUAGGUAGAACAGCCUCUAGUAUAGAUCUUAGUAGUAGUAGCAAAUACUUAAAUAAGAACUUUAAGGACUAAAGUAGGGAAAGGUUCUAUAUAAAUAGCAGUUAGAUACAGGUUAGUUAAUCCUAAGAGAUAGGGUAAUUCUAUUUUAAUGUUAGCGCUUACGCCACGCCCUUAAAAGGGAAGCUAGUUAAUAUUCUAGCACCUAGAUGUAGAUUCUCUGUAGUAACGCAACUAAGAGCGGAGACCUUAGCAGGAGCCCUAAGAAGAGUUCUCUUUUCUUCUUAACAGUCUAUCACCCUAAAAUUAGUUUGUCUAGAGCUAGGGUUUAAUAGCUAGAAGAGCGCUGCACUUUUAUAGUAUUUAGUGCGCUCCUAAUAAGCCUUAAAAAUCUACUUAAAGAAAUAGUUUUUACGCUAGGUUAUACUUAUAACUACAGCAGGUCUCUAAGGUAAAAAGCCUCUAGUUAAUAGAAUAAUGUAGAUAAGGGAAGUUAGUAAAAUAGAUCUGUAACUUUAGGAAAAGGAUUAGCUCUAAGGGUUAGGUACGUUAGGCCUUAGGGAGAAGCCUCUAGCGUAGAAGGGCACUAACUAUAAGGUAGGUGCCUCUUAGCGCUAGGGUGCAGACACCCUUAGCAGGUUUUAGCUAUCUAGCGUAUAUUUAACAACUAACUUAGAACUAGUAUAGAUAAGGGGAAUCUAACUAUCUAAUUAAAACAUAGUAUUGUAAUAGCUAGAAAGUAGUAUUAAUAUAAUAUAAUUUCUACCUAGUGCUCUAAAUAUUAAAGCAAAGAGAUUUAACUAAGCGCGGGUAAACAGCAGGAGUAACUAUAACUCUCUUAAGGUAGCUAAAUACCUUAUUAUCUAAUUAGUGACGCGCAUAAAUAGAUUAAUAAGAUUCCUACUAUCCCUAUCUACUAUCUAGCAAAACCAUAGCUAAGGGAACAGGCUUAGCUAAAUUAGCGGGGAAAGAAGACCCUAUUAAGCUUAACUCUAGUUUAAUAUUAUAAAAAGAUAUAGGGGGUGUAGAAUAGGUAGGAGCUUUAGCGCUAGUAAAAUACUACUACUCUUAUUAUUUUUUUACUUAUUUAAUAAAGCAGAGCUAGGCCUUACUACCUAACUUCUAGCGUUUAAGGUCCUUUAUAGGCUAAUCUAGGUUAAAGAUAUUAUUAGGUAGAGAGUUUAGCUAGGGCGGCACAUCUAUUAAACUAUAACGCAGGUAUCCUAAGGGGGACUUAUAGAGAAUAGAAAUCUCUAGUAGAGCAAAAGGGCAAAAGUCCCCUUAAUUUUAAUUUUUAGUGUAAAUACAAACUAUAAAAGUAUAGCCUAUUAAUCCUUUAGUCCCUUAAAAUUUAAGGCUAGAGGUGCUAGAAAAGUUACUACAGGGAUAACUAGCUUGUGGCAGCUAAGCGUUUAUAGCAACGUUCCUUUUUAAUCCUUUAAUAUUAGCUCUUCCUAUUAUACUAAAGCAGAAUUUAGUAAGCGUUAGAUUGUUCACCCACUAAUAGGGAACGUAAGCUAGGUUUAGACUGUUGUAAGACAGGUUAGUUUUACCCUACUAAUAACCUUGCCCUAAUAGUAGUAAUACCACGCUGCUACAAGAGGAACUGCGGUUUUAGGUAUAACAAUUAGUUUUACAGCUAUCUAAUCUAGCUAUUGCCGCGAAGCACUAUCUACUAGAUUAUAGCUAAACGCCUCAGUUAGAAUCUUAUGCGGGAAUCUAGGUGAUUUCCGCCUGCACUAGUUGCCGUCAUGAGGCCUUUAGCGCUAGAACCUUACUAGCCAUUAGCGUUAGCAGCCCUAUUAAAGUUAGAGUUAUUAGUAGCUAGUGUAUUAUAAUUAUAGUGCGCAGGAUUAAAUCCUUUAUAGAUAACUUAGUUGU
Molecule: ribosomal RNA, 3590 nt
Filed under: Plenodomus lingam/Leptosphaeria maculans 'brassicae' group
Lineage: Eukaryota; Fungi; Ascomycota; Dothideomycetes; Pleosporales; Leptosphaeriaceae
Description: eukaryotic LSU rRNA
Rfam family: Eukaryotic large subunit ribosomal RNA
Source: RNAcentral